GACGAACGCUGGCGGCGUGCUUAACACAUGCAAGUCGAACGGAAAGGCCCCUUUGGGGGUACUCGAGUGGCGAACGGGUGAGUAACACGUGAGUAACCUUCCCUUGACUUCGGGAUAACUUCAGGAAACUGGGGCUAAUACCGGAUAGGAAUCCUUGCUGCAUGGUGGGGGUUGGAAAGCUUCGGCGGUUUUGUAUGGACUCGCGGCUUAUCAGCUUGUUGGUGGGGUAGUGGCUUACCAAGGCUUUGACGGGUAGCCGGCCUGAGAGGGCGACCGGCCACAUUGGGACUGAGAUACGGCCCAGACUCCUACGGGAGGCAGCAGUGGGGAAUAUUGCACAAUGGGCGGAAGCCUGAUGCAGCAACGCCGCGUGCGGGAUGACGGCCUUCGGGUUGUAAACCGCUUUCAGCAGGGGCGAAGCUUGUGGUGACGGUACCUGCAGAAGAAGCACCGGCUAACUACGUG
RNAcentral lists this ribosomal RNA (465 nucleotides) under uncultured bacterium. Its description in RNAcentral is "partial 16S ribosomal RNA". It matches the Rfam family "Bacterial small subunit ribosomal RNA", at positions 28 to 507 of the family's 1533-position model. The record is from RNAcentral.